RNAcentral lists this small RNA (131 nucleotides) under Escherichia coli. Its description in RNAcentral is "RtT sRNA". It matches the Rfam family "RtT RNA". Rfam says of the family: This family represents a bacterial cis-regulatory element known as RtT RNA. The exact function of RtT is unknown although it is thought that it may be involved in changing the cellular response in relation to amino acid starvation. Lineage: Bacteria; Pseudomonadati; Pseudomonadota; Gammaproteobacteria; Enterobacterales; Enterobacteriaceae. The record is from RNAcentral.
UUCUGCCCAUGCGGGGAAGGAUGAGAAGCUUCGACUAAGGUUCGACUUGAGCGCCAGCGAGAGAGCGUUGCCGCAGGCAACGACCCGAAGGGCGAAGCGCGCAGCGCUGAGUAAUCCUUCCCCCACCACCA